AUGGACAUGGCAGCGAUGAACGACCCGGAGAGGCUCUUCUUCUUCGACCUCGCCUGCAAGACCGCCAAGUCCACCUACGACGAGAACCCGCUCGACGCCGACAACCUGACGCGAUGGGGCGGCGCGCUGCUGGAGCUGUCGCAGAUGCAUAACGGCCCCGAGAGCCUCAAGUGCCUCGAAGAUGCUGAGUCUAAGCUGGAUGAAGCACUGAGAAUUGAUCCCAACAAGGCUGAUGCACUCUGGUGCUUGGGGAAUGCCCUGACCUCUCGUGGAUUCUUCACUUCGGAAACUGUCCAGGCUAAUGAAUGCUUUGAAAAAGCAACUGGUUGUUUCCAGAGGGCUGUUGAUGUGGAACCAGCAAAUGAGUUGUACAGGAAGUCAUUGGAUUUGUCAUCAAAGGCACCUGAACUGCAUAUGGAGAUCCAUAGGCAAAUCGCAUCUCAAGCCUCACAAGGAGCACCCUCGUCCUCAAAUGCAAGGCAAACAAGGAAAAAGAAGAAGAACAAUGACUUCUGGUAUGAUCUGGCUGGAUGGGGGAUUCUUCUCAUUGGCAUCGGUGUUUGGCUAGGAGUGGCCAACAGUCAAGCCAAGGAGGCACAACCACCUCACAUGUCACAGCCUAACAUGUGA
This 630-nucleotide ribosomal RNA is filed under the name Triticum aestivum (bread wheat). Its description in RNAcentral is "partial small subunit ribosomal RNA". The record is from RNAcentral. Lineage: Eukaryota; Viridiplantae; Streptophyta; Magnoliopsida; Poales; Poaceae.